GACACUCCAGCAGCUUCGCCCCAUUGGCGGU
Molecule: small RNA, 31 nt
Filed under: Bombyx mori (domestic silkworm)
Lineage: Eukaryota; Metazoa; Arthropoda; Insecta; Lepidoptera; Bombycidae
Description: ovarian small RNA-15367
Source: RNAcentral